This 121-nucleotide small RNA is filed under the name Marmota monax (woodchuck). Lineage: Eukaryota; Metazoa; Chordata; Mammalia; Rodentia; Sciuridae. The record is from RNAcentral.
GCUGGGCGUGGUGGUGCACACCUGUUAAUCCCAGCGGCUUGGGAGGCUGAGGCAGGAGGAUUUUGAGUUCAAAGCCAGCCUCAGCAAAAGCAUGAGGCCCUAAGCAGAGACCCUGUCUCUA